RNAcentral lists this ribosomal RNA (278 nucleotides) under uncultured bacterium. RNAcentral's name for it is "partial 16S ribosomal RNA". It matches the Rfam family "Bacterial small subunit ribosomal RNA", at positions 583 to 865 of the family's 1533-position model. The record is from RNAcentral.
UUAAGUCAGAGGUGAAAUCCCAYAGCUCAACUGUGGAACUGCCUUUGAUACUGGUUGWCUUGAGUUAUAUGGAAGUAGAUAGAAUGUGUAGUGUAGCGGUGAAAUGCAUAGAUAUUACACAGAAUACCGAUUGCGAAGGCAGUCUACUACBUAUAUACUGACGCUCAUGGACGAAAGCGUGGGGAGCGAACAGGAUUAGAUACCCUGGUAGUCCACGCCGUAAACGAUGGACACUAGUUGUUGGGAUUUAUCUCAGUGACUAAGCGAAAGUGAUAAGU